This 296-nucleotide unclassified non-coding RNA is filed under the name uncultured Boletus. Its description in RNAcentral is "sequence contains ITS2". Lineage: Eukaryota; Fungi; Basidiomycota; Agaricomycetes; Boletales; Boletaceae. The record is from RNAcentral.
AAUUCAUCAACCAUGUCGUCGACAUAUGCGACAUGGCUUGGACUUGGGAGCUGCCGGUCAGUCAUGAUCGGCUCUCCUGAAAUACAUUAGUGGAGGGAUGGAGACUAGCGUUUCUUUGGCCUUGGACGUGUUAAACCCUCGCCCUGGCUGGAGUGUCGCUACGCUCUCGAACCGGUCUGCUUCGAACACUAUAUAUCGAGAUCAGUUACUACCAGCAUGGACGAACGCGGCUCGAACUUCAAACGUCGAGCUUAGCUAUUAGUCUGGAUGGGAACACGGUCUCAAUUCAUUUGGAA